GUGCUCGCUUUGGCAGCACAUAGACUAAAAUUGGAUUGAAACAGAGAAGAUUCACAUGGCCCCUGUGCGAGGAUGACACAGAUUCGUGAAGCACUCCAGAUUUUU
Small nuclear RNA from Hyaena hyaena (striped hyena), 105 nucleotides. The record is from RefSeq and is a predicted model, not a curated record. Lineage: Eukaryota; Metazoa; Chordata; Mammalia; Carnivora; Hyaenidae.